Molecule: ribosomal RNA, 497 nt
Filed under: uncultured bacterium
Lineage: Bacteria
Description: partial 16S ribosomal RNA
Rfam family: Bacterial small subunit ribosomal RNA
Source: RNAcentral
GACGAACGCUGGCGGCGUGCCUAAUACAUGCAAGUAGAACGCUGAAGAGAGGAGCUUGCUCUUCUUGGAUGAGUUGCGAACGGGUGAGUAACGCGUAGGUAACCUGCCUUGUAGCGGGGGAUAACUAUUGGAAACGAUAGCUAAUACCGCAUAACAAUGGAUGACACAUGUCAUUUAUUUGAAAGGGGCAAUUGCUCCACUACAAGAUGGACCUGCGUUGUAUUAGCUAGUAGGUGAGGUAAUGGCUCACCUAGGCGACGAUACAUAGCCGACCUGAGAGGGUGAUCCGCCACACUGGGACUGAGACACGGCCCAGACUCCUACGGGAGGCAGCAGUAGGGAAUCUUCGGCAAUGGGGGCAACCCUGACCGAGCAACGCCGCGUGAGUGAAGAAGGUUUUCGGAUCGUAAAGCUCUGUUGUAAGUCAAGAACGGGUGUGAGAGUGGAAAGUUCACACUGUGACGGUAGCUUACCAGAAAGGGACGGCUAACUACGUG